RNAcentral lists this ribosomal RNA (506 nucleotides) under uncultured bacterium. Its description in RNAcentral is "partial 16S ribosomal RNA". It matches the Rfam family "Bacterial small subunit ribosomal RNA", at positions 29 to 523 of the family's 1533-position model. The record is from RNAcentral.
AGUGAACGCUGGCGGUAGGCCUAACACAUGCAAGUCGAACGGCAGCACAGGAGAGCUUGCUCUCUGGGUGGCGAGUGGCGGACGGGUGAGGAAUACAUCGGAAUCUACUCUGUCGUGGGGGAUAACGUAGGGAAACUUACGCUAAUACCGCAUACGACCUACGGGUGAAAGCAGGGGACCUUCGGGCCUUGCGCGAUUGAAUGAGCCGAUGUCGGAUUAGCUAGUUGGCGGGGUAAAGGCCCACCAAGGCGACGAUCCGUAGCUGGUCUGAGGGGAUGAUCAGCAACACUGGAACUGAGACACGGUCCAGGCUCCUACGGGAGGCAGCAGUGGGGAAUAUUGGACAAUGGGCGCAAGCCUGAUCCAGCCAUACCGCGUGGGUGAAGAAGGCCUUCGGGUUGUAAAGCCCUUUUGUUGGGAAAGAAAUCCAGCUGGCUAAUACCCGGUUGGGAUGACGGUACCCAAAGAAUAAGCACCGGCUAACUUCGUGCCAGCCGCCGCGGUAA